RNAcentral lists this long non-coding RNA (5147 nucleotides) under Homo sapiens (human). Its description in RNAcentral is "HSALNT0010367". The record is from RNAcentral. Lineage: Eukaryota; Metazoa; Chordata; Mammalia; Primates; Hominidae.
GUAAGAUGGCUGCUCUACUCUAUGUGUUGUGUCUGGGUCCCAGGCAAAGAGAAGGGGCAGGAGCAAAGGGUCCAAGGUGCAUGCCAACUGAGUCUGUGCCUUUGUACCAAGAAAAUAAUCGCUUUCCUGGAAGCCCCACUCACUGGACUUCCUCUGUCAUCUUGCUGGCCAGAACCUGAUUGGGUGGCCACCCUUACUGGGCACAUGGCUCUCCUAAACAAAACCGGCAUGCUAUUAGAAAGGAAGAGGAAAUGGUAGAAGAUGAGAUAAACAACCAGCGGUGCCUACCACUCCUUCAGUCUAUUCCAGUCCAUUGGAACUUUACCCUCCUUUGAGCAACUGUUUACAGUCUUCCCGCCUUAUCCUCAGGGGAUACUUUCCAAGACCUCCAGUGGAUGCUCGAAACCAAGGAUAGUAUCAAGCCCUAUAAAUACUGUUUUUUUCCUAUAUAUACAUACCUAUAAUAAAGGUUAAUCUAUAAAUUAGGCACAAUAAGAGAUUGACAAUUAUAACUAAUAACAAAAUAGAACAAUUAUAACAAUAUACUGUAAGAAAGGUUAUGCAAAUGAGGUCUCUCUCUCUCAAAAUAUCCUAUUAUACCAUACUCACCCUUCUUCUUGUGAUGUGUCCAUGGCUGGAUGUCAGGAGCAGACAAUGUCAAUAACUCACAGGUAGGUAGCACAUACAGUGUGGAUACACUGGACAAAGGAGUGAUUCAUAUCCCCACAGGACAGAGUCGGACGAUGUGAAAUUUCUUCAUGCUGCUCAAAAUGGACCUAUAAUUGAGAGGCCAACUGGACCAUUUGACCUUGGCUGAAGGGGACACAGGAGUGCAGAAUGAAGUUUUGCCAUGAACGUAGAUCCUCCCUUACAAAUCCCUCCAUUUUCAAACCCGAGGUCAGAGCUUCUCUGGGCAGCCAGCCCCAGCCCUCAGGUGAACUCAGCACAGCCCUUCUGACUUACCCAGGAAGAUGGGAAAAGGCGAGAGUGAAGAAGCAAGAGAGAAUGAAAUGAAGAAGCCAAGUCUUCUCCUUCUUCCUUUCCCCUCCAGAGGAAAACCAUCUCAAGAGCCAGAAGUGGUAUAGGCCCCUAAGUCAAGCUUUUUCAAGCUCCACUUCUAAUGCUCCAUGCCUUAAAAAGUAUGACCCAAGACUGUCCCUGAACAUGGCUGAUCCACGGUAACAUCCUUCCUCCUGGGAUAGUCUCAGAGGUGCGUGAGGGGAGCACCAUGAACUUUCUCAACCUACAGGCCAACAUAUUUUAUUUUAUAUUCUUAUGUCACUAUCUCAGAACUUAAUAGCCACUGUAUGGCAAAAUAAAUAAUUGGGUUUUUGUGACGAGCCUUUGAAAUGUCCUUCCCACUGCGGAUGUGCCACACUGUCUCCUAAUUCUCCCCUUACAAGCAGACGUAAUCCAUGUUUCUGAAUGAAUUUAUAAUAUGAAACCUUCAAAGGGUGGCAUGUAAGUUCCACAGACCUCAUUUUUACAACAAGGAAAGAUUCUUUCCAGGAAAAGAUUUUGAAGACCUGAAUACUAAGUGAGUGGUGCUAUUAUAUGCAUGUGAAACAGAAAUGUCUCCCAGUCUUUGGUAACUGGUGCAGUAGACCAGAGCUGGUUUUAAUUAUGUAGAAAUGACUGAUUACAGUAAAAACUCAACCUGGAAAACUGCCUCAGAGUUAGAGUAAAGGAUUUAUAAGAAUUUAGAGUUGGCAGAGACCAAAGUGAUCAUCUUAUUCACUGGUGCCUUACGUUUUAUUUAAUCCACUCAACAAAUGUUUACUGAAUGCCCGUUAUGUGCAGGGAAUGCAAGUACAAAAAUCUUUUUUUAAUAUUAAAAAAGGUCACAGACCAUCAUAUGAUAGCAUUGUAAUUCUGGACAUUCAGAAAAUUAUUUAAUAAAGUAAAAUCAACUACAAACUUAAUAAAAGUUUAAAUAUUAUAUUUUAAUAAUUAUGACAUUACCUACAUUGAAAAUUAGUAGUAUACACAUGUAUAAGAUGUAUUAUUCAUUCCAUUGACAAAAUGCUUGAUUCACAAACAUUCCUAAAAUUCCUUGCAGGCACACCUAAGUUCCCUCCGAGUCUAAAGCCUAUAAAUUGGAAAUUGCUGACUAGUUCAAUAAGCUCAUUUUACUGAUGAUGAAAAUCAAUAAAUAACUUACAUCUGGUCUUAUAACUAGUGGUAGAGCUAGCAGCUCCAACUCCUAACCCAGAGCCUCACUGUGUCAUGUAGUUUCUGCCUAUCUGCUGUCUAUUCAAUUAUGUGACAGAGAACACUAACUGACCCCCAUGAUUUAUUCUCUUCCUCUUCAGCCCCACAAGUUUCAACCGGGCACAUGGGUCACCAGAUGGAGACUACAUUUCCCAGCUCCUCUUGCAGGCUGGCAUGUCCAUGUGACUGACUAUGGCCCGUGAAUGUAAGUGGAAUUGAUGAGUCCAAUUUCUAGGUCACAUCCUUAUAAAAGAAGCUAUUACAACUCCACAUCCUAGCCCUCCUCCCCCCAAAUUCUGCACUGCUGAAACAGUUUUGACUGUGCAGAUUAAGUCAGAAUCCUGGAGGCAAAUGCAAUAAAUAGAAAGAAUCUGACCCCCUGGGUGCCCUCAAUGAACAGGACCACCUUUCACUGCUGCAACCCCUUCUGGACUGGUAUGUGAAAGAGAAAGAAACUUCUAUUUCAUCUUAGCUACCAUAUUUGCAAGUUCCUUUGUGGCAGAACUUUAGUCAAACCUAACCAAAAUAACAUAAUAUACUCACAUAAAAGGUUACAAGGUGAGAGGAUAAGAGCAAUAGCAAAAUGUGCUUCUGAAAAUAAGGACAGUGUUUCAUUUGUAUUUCUAAUUAAUUGCAUUACGUUUGAUCUUGGUGAUCAUAGAAGAAAAUUAAUCUCAGACUAUAGAGGCCCCUGGUAUUUACCAUGGUGUGGUAUCCUCCCAUGCUCUAUCAGAGUUGGUCUGUGUGACCAAUAGAAUAUGACAGAAGUGAUAAUGUGUGACUGCUGAGGCUAGAUUAUAACAGCAGUGUUGCUUCUGCCAGGAUUUUCUCAGGUAGAUCACUUUUUCUGAGGGAAUCCAAGUGCCAUGCCAUGAGGACACUCAGGCAGCCCUAUAAAGAGGCCCACAUGGCCAAAAUCUUGAGGCCUCCAGUCAAUAGCAAACAAGAAACUGAGAUGAGCAUGGAAGUAGAUACUCAAGCUUCAAUGAAAUCUUCAGAUAACUGCAGCCCCAGGAGACAUCCAGUUUACCUCAUAGGAGAGCCUGAGACAGAACCACCUAGCCAGGGAAUGUAAAUUGGUAUAGCCGUUAUAGAAAAAAUAUGGAGGUUCCUCAAAAAAAUGAAACAGAAGUUCAUACUGUAUUAGUCCAUUCUCACACUGCUAUAAAGAACUACAUGAGACUGGGUAAUUUAUAAAGAAAAGAGGUUUAAUUUGGUCAUGGUUCUGCAGGCUGUACAGGAAGCAUAGCUAGGGAGGCCUAGGGAAACUUACAAUCAUGGCAGAAGGGGAAGCUGUUACAUCUUAUAUGGCUGGAGCAGGAGGAAGAAAGCAAGGUGGAAGGUGCUUACACACUUUUAAACAACCAGACCUCACAAUAACUCACUCACUGUCACAAGAACAGCACCAAAGGGGAGAUCCACCACCAUGAUCCAAUCACCCUCCACAAGGCCCCACCUCCGACAUUGGGGAUUACAAUUUCACAUGAGAUUUGGGCAGGGACACAGACCCAAAUCCUAUCACAUACAGUCUAACAAUCCCACUUUUGAGUAUAUCUCCAAAGGAAAUGAAAUCAGUAUCAAAGAGAUACCUGCACCCUCAUGUUCAUUGCAGCAUUAUUCACAAUAGCCAAAAUAUGGAAACAACCUAAGUGUCCACUAAUGGAUGAAUGAAUAAGGAAAGUGUAGAAUAUAUGCCAGGUGCUGUGGCUCAUGCCUAUUGUCCCAGCACUUUGCGAGGCCGAGGCCGAGAAGGGUGGAUCACUUAAAAUCAGGAGUUCAAAACCAAUCUGGGCAACAUGUGAAGACCCCAUCUCUACUGAAAAGACAAAAAAAUUGGCCGAGUGUGGUGGUGGGUGCCUGUAAUCCCAGUUACUCAGGAGGCUCAGGCAGGAGAAACACUUGAACCCAGGAGGCGGAAGUUGCAGUGAGCCAAGAUCACACCACUGCACUCCAGCCUGGGUGACAGAGAGAGACUCCAUCUCAAAAAAAAGAAAAAGAAAAAAAUAUAUAUAUAGGACUAUUAGUCAGCUAUAAUAAAAUAUGUGAAUCCUACCAUUUGCAACAACAUGGAUGAAAUUGAAGGACAUUAUGCUAACUGAAAUAAAACAGACACAGAUAUACAAAUACUCUAUGAUCUCAUUUAUAUGUGGAAUCUAAAAAAUGUGAACUCAUAGAGGCAGGGAAUAGAAUGGUAGCUACCAGGGGCUGGGCAGGGGCAGGUGGGGAGAUGUUGAUUAAAGAGUACAAAUUUUUAGACAUAAGAUGAAUAAGUUCUGGGUUUCUAAUUUACAGCAUGGUUAUUAUAGUUAAUAAUACUGUAUUAUUCACUUGAAAUUUGCUAAUUGAGUGGACCUUAAGUGCCUUUACCACACACACACACGCGCGCACACACGCACACACACACAAAAUGGUAACUAAGUGUGGUGAUAGAUGUGUUCAUUAAUUUGACAGUGGUAAUCAUUAUACAAUGUAUACAUAUAGCAAAUCACCAUGUUGUAUACCUUGAACAUAUACAAUUUUUGUCAAUUAUACAAUUUGUAAAGAUGGGGGUAAAAACCUAGCUAAGUCACUCCCAAUUCCUGACCUACAGAAACUGUGCUAUAAUAAAUGUUUGUUGUUUUAAGCCACUAAACUUUGGGUUAAUUCAUUAUACAGCAAGAGAUACCUCAUACACUUAUUGAAUGUGUUUGGCAGGUGACCUGAUACAGAGCCUACUAGAAAUGUUACAUGCUAGAAAUGUUGACCUACCUCACCUGGUGAAUGGGUUAGUUCCGUAGAAAAUUUAGUUUAUGCUCCCUAAUUUUCUAUAGGAUUAGAGGUAAUAAUACCUAUAAACAUAUCUCUUCUUAAUGAAUUUUUUGUAUGUUAUUUUUGUGGAUAAGGGUGGGGAUAGGUAAUCUCACCAUGUAUUACCCCAGAAUCCAGACAAAAGAGAC